Molecule: long non-coding RNA, 2461 nt
Organism: Cercocebus atys (sooty mangabey)
Lineage: Eukaryota; Metazoa; Chordata; Mammalia; Primates; Cercopithecidae
Exons: 2
Source: RefSeq, a predicted model, not a curated record
GAACAGGCAGUAGCUGAACGGCAGGUGUCAGAGGAGGACGCUGCUGGUUCCAGUGAAUGACGCUGAGCCCACUAAGAUCAACACCUUGCUGGAUGCCUCGGCAACACUGGAGGAAGGACAUGCAAAGGAAACAAUUCAGGACCACAUGGUGGACUCCGAGAAGCUCUUUUAUGAAGAAGAUGACGUAGGCUUUGCUACGUCGUCCCUGUGAAAGAAUGUCUUCAGGAAACCAGAGCUUUUCUCGUUUACCUUUUCUUCUAGAAGGGGAGGCAGCCUGGAAGAGACAGUCCAGUACUUGACCCAUGCCUCAACUAACUCUGCUAUCCAAUAUGGUGCAGCUUACCAAAGGUCCUAGAACUUUGUCAACACACUUGAAGUAAUUUUUAUGAAAUACUGCGUGUGAUAACGAAACUGGGGAAAUUUGUGUAAGACUCUUGGCGGCAUAGAGUUAUACGAUUGUGUAUUAAGGGUCCUUUUCGUCCAAGUGCUCAUGCCUGUAAUCCCACCACUUUGGGAGGCUGAGGCUGGUGGAUCACUUGAGUUUAGGAGUUUGAGACCAGCCUGGUCAACACAGUGAAACUCCGUCUCAAUUUAAAAAGAAAAAAAGUAGUUUUAGGAUGUCAUUCUUUCCAGUUCUUCAUCAUGCGACAAGUCCUUUUUUUAAUUUCUUAUAUUGCAAGCUCCAUCUCUACUGCUAUGUGCAUUUAAUGACAUCUAACUAUAGAUGCCGCACAGCCACAGUGGUUUAUCUUACAGUUUUUUCACUUUAGAAUGGGAUUAUCUAUCUAGUUAUUAGCUGUAUUUUCAGUUUAGGAUAUUUUUGAGUUAAUGAUGAGAUUAUCAAGACAUAGCCCUAUGCUAAGUCAUGAGCGUAUGGACUUAUGAGGGUUCGACUUAGAGUUUUGAGCGUUAAGAUGGGAUUAUUGGGGCUUACCCCCACCUUAAUUAGAGAAACAUUUGUAUUGCUUAUUACUGUAUGAUGUACAUCUUUCUAUUUUCCGAUUUUUGUGUAAUGAUGUAAGCAUGGAUGAACUUUAGAAAAUGCACUUUUUAGGUUAUUUACAUAGGUUGCCUGGAUACAAAUCAGCAGUGAAAAAUCACUGGAAAUAUAACUAGUGACGGAGGGAGAAAUCCUCCCCCCGUGGGAGGCACUUACUGUGUUCCAGUUCUCCCUCCUACGCCCUGAGACUGGACGAGGGUUUGAUGACUGGCAACUUCUCAGGGGGCCAGCCUGUCUUACUUGAUUUUAGAGGUAUAUAGCCGUAUUUAUUUAUAAAUAAAUAUUUAUUUAUAUUUAUUUAUAAAUCGAUGUUUACAUGUGCCCAGGAUUUUGAAGAGCAUGGUAUCUUUGGGAAGCCAUGUGUCUGGUUUGUCCUGCUGGGACCGUCAAGGAACUGCAUCUUCCUACGUGUCCACCGCAGAUGAGGACAGUGAGAAUUAAGUUAGAUCUGAGACUGUGAAGAGCUUCUCUUUCAAGCACCAUUACCGUUGAACAUUAGUGAAUCUUGGGCCUCGUUUGGACUCAGGGCAGAGCAGGUGUUUAUCUGCCCCGGGAUCUGCCAUGGCAUCAGGAGGGAGGAGUGGAUGGUGCUUGGGAAUGGUGUGAAAUGUUUGCUGACUCAGGAGUGGAUGGGCCCCUCUCCCUGGUGGUCUGUGACCCUGAGUCCCUGGGCUGCAUUUCAGGGUACAGAUUCCCUAUUUGAGUAGCUUGGCUUCUCUGUAAGCAUCUGACUCAUCUCAGAAAUAUCAAUCCUUAAACACUACGACAACGAAACCUAAAAUGGGUGACACAUUUGUCCUUGUGUCACGUUCCAUUAUUUUAUUUAAGAACCUCAGUAAUCAUUGUAGCCUCUUUCCAGCAAACCCUUCUCCACAGCAGUCCAGUCGUGGUAGGAUAAAUUACAGAUGUAGUCAUUCUAGCAGUUUCAGUCUUUUCCAUCUCAGGGCAUUGUGUGUUUUGUUCCGGGACUGGUUUGGUGGGGACAAAGUUAGAAUUGCCUGAAGAUCGCACAUUCAGAGUGUUGUGUCCGUGGAGUUUUAGGAGGGGGUGGCCUUUCUGGUCUAUGCACUUCCAUCCUCUCCCACUUCCAUCUGGCGUCCCACACGUUGUCCCCUGCACUUCUGGAAGGCACAGGGUGCUGCUGCCUCCUGGUCUUUGCCUUUGCUGGGCCUUCGGUGCAGGACACUCGGCCUCAAAGCUCAGAGGGAGCCAGUCCGGACCCAGCUCCCUUGUCCCUUCCUCAGAGGCCUUCCUUGAAGAUGCAUCUGGCCUAUCAGCCUUAUCAGUGUUUAAGCUUAUUCCUUUAAAGUAAGCUUCCUGAGAACAUGAAAUUGUUGGGGUUUUUUGGUGUUGGUUGGUUUGUUUAGGUUUUGCUUUAUACCCAGGCCAAAUAACAUAUAACACCUGGUUAUGUAUGAAAUGCUUAUAUGUUUAUGAUCAAAAUAAAUGUGAAACCUCAUA